AGUUUGAUCCUGGCUCAGAUUGAACGCUGGCGGGAUGCGCUACACACGGCACAGAGUCGAACGGCAGCCUGGACUUCGGUCUGGUGGCGAGUGGCGAACGAAUUGAGUAAUGUAUCGGAACGUGCCGUGUGAAGGAUAACUACGCGAAAGCGUAGCUAAUGCCGCGCCGCUGAGAGAAAGCGGGGACGCUGGGAGCCUCGCACUAUUAAGAGCGGCCGAUAUCGGAUUAGCUAGUUGGUGGGGUAACCGGCUCACCAAGGCGACGAUCCGUAGCUGGUUUGAGAGGACGACCCAGCAGCGCACUGGGACUGAGACACGGCCCAGACUCCUACAGGAGGCAGCAGUGGGGAAUUUUGGACAAUGGAAAACCCACCAGUCCAGCCAUCCCGCGUGUGUGAUGAAGGCCUUCGGGUUGUAAAGCCGCCGCAGCGGGAAAGAAACGGCACGGGAUAAUACCCCGUGCAACUGACGGUACCUGCAGAAUAAGCACCGGCUAACUACGUGCCAGCAGCCGCGGUAAUACGUGAGGUGCAAGCGUUAAUCGGAAUUACUGGGCGUAAAGCGUGCGCAGGCGGUUCGGAAGAAAGAUGUGAAAUACAGAGCUUAACUUUGGAACUGCGUGCCAACUACCGAGCUAGAGUGUGUCAGAGGUGGAAUUCCGCGUGUAGCAGUAAAUGCGUAGAUAUGCGGAGGAACACCGAUGGCGAAGGCAGCCUCCUGGGAUAACACUGACGCUCGUGCACGAAAACGUGGGAGCAAACAGGAUUAGAUACCCUGGUAGUCCGCCCUAAACGAUGUCAACUAGCUGUUGGGGCCUUCGGGCCUUGGUAGCGCAGCUAACGCGUGAAGUUGACCGCCUGGGGAGUACGGUCGCAGAAUUAAACUCAAAAUUGACGGGGACCCGCACAAGCGGUGGAUGAUGUGGAUUAAUUCGAUGCAACGCGAAAAACCUUACCUACCCUUGACAUGUCUGGAAUCCCGAAGAGAUUUGGGAGUGCUCGCGAAGACGGAACACAGGUGCUGCAUGGCUGUGAUCAGCUCGUGUCGUGAGAUGUUAGGUUAAGUCCCGCAACGAGCACCAGCCCUUGUCAUUAGUUGCUACGAAAGGGCACUCUAAAUGAGACUGCCGGUGACAAACCGGAGGAAGGUGGGGAUGACGUCAAGUCCUCAUGGCCCUUAUGGGUAGGGCUUCACACGUCAUACAAUGGUCAGGACAGAGGGGUCGCCAACCCCGCAGGGGAGCCAAUCCCGAAGCGAUCGUAGUCCGGAUCACAGUCUGCAACUCGACUGCGUGAAGUCGGAAUCGCUAGUAAUCGCGGAUCCAGCAUGUCGCGGUGAAUACGUUCCCGGGUCUUGUACACACACCGCCCGUCACCAUGGGAGUGGGUUUACCAGAAGUAGUUAGCUAACCGUAAGGAGGGCGAUUACGGUAGGAUUCAUGACUGGGGUGAAGUCGUAACAAGGGUAA
This 1468-nucleotide ribosomal RNA is filed under the name uncultured Bordetella sp. RNAcentral's name for it is "partial 16S-23S ribosomal RNA intergenic spacer". It matches the Rfam family "Bacterial small subunit ribosomal RNA". The record is from RNAcentral. Lineage: Bacteria; Pseudomonadati; Pseudomonadota; Betaproteobacteria; Burkholderiales; Alcaligenaceae.